This 253-nucleotide ribosomal RNA is filed under the name uncultured bacterium. RNAcentral describes it as "partial 16S ribosomal RNA". It matches the Rfam family "Bacterial small subunit ribosomal RNA", at positions 524 to 776 of the family's 1533-position model. The record is from RNAcentral.
GACAGAGGGUGCAAACGUUGUUCGGAAUUACUGGGCGUAAAGCGCGCGUAGGCGGCUUUGCAAGUUAGAGGUGAAAGCCCGGGGCUCAACUCCGGAAUUGCCUUUAAAGCUGCAUCGCUAGAAUUGUGGAGAGGUAAGUGGAAUUCCGAGUGUAGAGGUGAAAUUCGUAGAUAUUCGGAAGAACACCAGUGGCGAAGGCGGCUCACUGGACCGGUAUUGACGCUGAGGUGCGAAAGCGUGGGGAGCAAACAGG